AGAACGAACGCUGGCGGCAGGCCUAACACAUGCAAGUCGAACGCGACCUUCGGGUCGAGUGGCGCACGGGUGAGUAACGCGUGGGAAUCUGCCCUGUGGUACGGAAUAACAUCGGGAAACUGGUGCUAAUACCGUAUAUCCCCUGAGGGGGAAAGAUUUAUCGCCAUAGGAGGAGCCCGCGUAGGAUUAGCUAGUUGGUGAGGUAACGGCUCACCAAGGCGACGAUCCUUAGCUGGUCUGAGAGGAUGAUCAGCCACACUGGGACUGAGACACGGCCCAGACUCCUACGGGAGGCAGCAGUGGGGAAUAUUGGACAAUGGGGGAAACCCUGAUCCAGCCAUGCCGCGUGUGUGAUGAAGGCCUUCGGGUUGUAAAGCACUUUCGCACGUGACGAUGAUGACGGUAACGUGAGAAGAAGCCCGGCUAACUUCGCGCCAGCAGCCGC
This 445-nucleotide ribosomal RNA is filed under the name uncultured bacterium. Its description in RNAcentral is "SSU rRNA". It matches the Rfam family "Bacterial small subunit ribosomal RNA", at positions 26 to 518 of the family's 1533-position model. The record is from RNAcentral.